AGAUUAAGUUAUUAAGGGCGCACGGUGGAUGCCUUGGCACUAGAAGCCGAUGAAGGACGUUACUAACGACGAUAUGCUUUGGGGAGCUGUAAGUAAGCUGUGAUCCAGAGAUUUCCGAAUGGGGGAACCCAAUACGAGUUAUGUCGUAUUAUCGAUACGUAAAUACAUAGCGUAUCGAAGGUAGACGCGGAGAACUGAAACAUCUUAGUACCCGCAGGAAGAGAAAGAAAAUCGAUUCCCUGAGUAGCGGCGAGCGAAACGGGAAGAGCCCAAACCAACGAGCUUGCUUGUUGGGGUUGUAGGACACUCUAUACGGAGUUACAAAGGAAUAGAUUAGACGAAGCAUCUGGAAAGAUGCAUCAAAGAAGGUAAUAAUCCUGUAGUCGAAAAUCUGUUCUCUCUUGAGUGGAUCCUGAGUACGACGGAACACGAGAAAUUCCGUCGGAAUCUGGGAGGACCAUCUCCCAAGGCUAAAUACUCUCUAGUGACCGAUAGGGAACCAGUACCGU
Molecule: ribosomal RNA, 509 nt
Filed under: Staphylococcus cohnii subsp. cohnii
Lineage: Bacteria; Bacillati; Bacillota; Bacilli; Caryophanales; Staphylococcaceae
Description: bacterial LSU rRNA
Rfam family: Bacterial large subunit ribosomal RNA
Source: RNAcentral